This 821-nucleotide ribosomal RNA is filed under the name Microbacterium sp. PCA3-11_Pa. Its description in RNAcentral is "bacterial SSU rRNA". It matches the Rfam family "Bacterial small subunit ribosomal RNA", at positions 61 to 893 of the family's 1533-position model. Lineage: Bacteria; Bacillati; Actinomycetota; Actinomycetes; Micrococcales; Microbacteriaceae. The record is from RNAcentral.
GUCGAACGGUGAAAGAGAGCUUGCUCUCUGGAUCAGUGGCGAACGGGUGAGUAACACGUGAGCAAUCUGCCCCUGACUCUGGGAUAACAGUUGGAAACAGCUGCUAAUACCGGAUACGAGCUUCGAAGGCAUCUUCAGAAGCUGGAAAGAACUUCGGUCAGGGAUGAGCUCGCGGCCUAUCAGCUAGUUGGUGAGGUAAUGGCUCACCAAGGCGUCGACGGGUAGCCGGCCUGAGAGGGUGACCGGCCACACUGGGACUGAGACACGGCCCAGACUCCUACGGGAGGCAGCAGUGGGGAAUAUUGCACAAUGGGCGCAAGCCUGAUGCAGCAACGCCGCGUGAGGGACGACGGCCUUCGGGUUGUAAACCUCUUUUAGCAGGGAAGAAGCGAAAGUGACGGUACCUGCAGAAAAAGCGCCGGCUAACUACGUGCCAGCAGCCGCGGUAAUACGUAGGGCGCAAGCGUUAUCCGGAAUUAUUGGGCGUAAAGAGCUCGUAGGCGGUUUGUCGCGUCUGCUGUGAAAACUGGAGGCUCAACCUCCAGCCUGCAGUGGGUACGGGCAGACUAGAGUGCGGUAGGGGAGAUUGGAAUUCCUGGUGUAGCGGUGGAAUGCGCAGAUAUCAGGAGGAACACCGAUGGCGAAGGCAGAUCUCUGGGCCGUAACUGACGCUGAGGAGCGAAAGGGUGGGGAGCAAACAGGCUUAGAUACCCUGGUAGUCCACCCCGUAAACGUUGGGAACUAGUUGUGGGGUCCAUUCCACGGAUUCCGUGACGCAGCUAACGCAUUAAGUUCCCCGCCUGGGGAGUACGGCCGCAAGG